GGCGUGCUUAACACAUGCAAGUCGAACGAAGCGGUUACAGGGAUUCCCUUCGGGGAGGAACGGUAACUGUCUGAGUGGCGGACGGGUGAGUAACGCGUGGGCAACCUGCCCCAUACCGGGGGAUAACAGCCGGAAACGGCUGCUAAUACCGCAUACGCCAAGGAGGCUGCAUAGCUUCCUGGGGAAAACUCCGGUGGUAUGGGAUGGGCCCGCGUCUGAUUAGCUCGUUGGCGGGGUAACGGCCCACCAAGGCGACGAUCAGUAGCCGGCCUGAGAGGGCGGCCGGCCACAUUGGGACUGAGACACGGCCCAGACUCCUGCGGGAGGCAGCAGUGGGGAAUAUUGCACAAUGGGGGAAACCCUGAUGCAGCGACGCCGCGUGAGCGAUGAAGUAUCUCGGUAUGUAAAGCUCUAUCAGCAGGGAAGAAAGUGUCAGUACCUGACUAAGAAGCCCCGGCUAACUACGUGCCAGCAGCCGCGGUAAUACGUAGGGGGCAAGCGUUAUCCGGAUUCACUGGGCGUAAAGGGAGCGCAGGCGGCACGGCAAGUCUGGUGUGAAAACCCGGGGCUCAACCCCGGGACUGCAUUGGAAACUGCCGGGCUGGAGUGUCGGAGGGGUAAGCGGAAUUCCUAGUGUAGCGGUGAAAUGCGUAGAUAUUAGGAGGAACACCAGUGGCGAAGGCGGCUUACUGGACGAUGACUGACGCUGAGGCUCGAAAGCGUGGGGAGCAAACAGGAUUAGAUACCCUGGUAGUCCACGCCGUA
This 765-nucleotide ribosomal RNA is filed under the name uncultured bacterium. RNAcentral's name for it is "bacterial SSU rRNA". It matches the Rfam family "Bacterial small subunit ribosomal RNA", at positions 41 to 804 of the family's 1533-position model. The record is from RNAcentral.